This is a long non-coding RNA of Zingiber officinale, 893 nucleotides long. RefSeq lists it as uncharacterized. NCBI's taxonomy places the organism in Eukaryota, Viridiplantae, Streptophyta, Magnoliopsida, Zingiberales, Zingiberaceae. The transcript has 2 exons. The record is from RefSeq and is a predicted model, not a curated record.
AUAAGAGUAGAUUAUCAAUUAGGGGAGGAAUUGGGCAAUAAUUGAUAGUUUCCAUUGACGUGAAGCAAUGCAACACCAACAGCUAUAGUAGCACCAACACCAACUGAUGCCCCCACAACUUUUUACCCCAUUUCUCUCUCUCUCUCUCUCUAAUUAAUUAGAGCCAACCUUCUUUAGGAGCAUAAAGGAGAGCACAAGAAUGAACCAAAGAUGAAGGAGAUCGGUAACCGGAGUGGGCAGCUGAAGGAGGAUUCCAAAGGGAUCGCAUUGAUCUCUUCUUCUUCAUCAUUUUUAUUUCUUCUUCUUCUUCUUCCUCUUCUUCUCUUCUUUAAUUUUAAAUUCUUUUUUUUUUCUAAUUAUGGUUUAAUUUGAGAGAGAUCAUGCGGUUCCUUUGGAAUUUUCCAUCUGUUGCUGAGUAAUUCUUCACCACCUACACAUCUUUCAGACGACGGAAGAAAUUUAGCGGCGCGGAAGGCAUUCGGUUUCGGAACCUUGGGUGCCUCAUGAUAUAGAAGCCAACUAGAGCAACCGACACUUGCAACGGGGUGGUGUAAAGCACAAUCGCUGCCAUCACGCUGAACACUAAGAAGAUGACAGUGGCCCGUGGAUCCCUCCAGCUAAGCAAUGCUUGCAGCCUCUCCCCUUGAGUGGCCAAAUCUCCGACCACAGUUUGUAUUCUUCCGGCCACGCUCCUCAAUCGAUCAUACCUCAUGCGCACUAUCUCAGAGCUCCGGCUGGUGGGGAAUGUGUCAAACUCCUCGUCGAGCUCAUCAGGGUGCACUGCCUCUGCGUGCGAAAGCUUUAUGUUCAUGUGAGGAGGAUACCGUGGGCGCGAGCGGUAAUUCCAAAGGCCUAUCAUGAACAUGUAUAGAAAUAGAGUAGGAAGAAUCAGU